AAAGGCUCUUUUAAGAGCCACCCACAAGCUUCCUUCAAAAGGGCU
Phoenicopterus ruber ruber is the source of this 45-nucleotide non-coding RNA. NCBI's taxonomy places the organism in Eukaryota, Metazoa, Chordata, Aves, Phoenicopteriformes, Phoenicopteridae. The record is from Rfam.